CCUACGGGAGACAGCAGUAGGGAAUUUUCGUCAAUGGGGGAAACCCUGAACGGGCAAUGCCGCGUGAGUGAAGAAGGCCUUCGGGUCGUAAAGCUCUGUUGUAAGAGAAAAACGGUAAUGAUAGGAAAUGAUCAUUAAGUGAUUGUAUCUUACGAGGAAGCCACGGCUAACUACGUGCGAUCCGCCGCGGUAAUACGUAGGUGGCAAGCGUUAUCCGGAAUGAUUGGGCGUAAGGGGUGCGCAGGCGGAAGCAUAAGUCUGAAGUAAAAGGCAUCGGCUAAACCGAUGUAAGCUUUGGAAACUGUGGAUCUGGAGUGCAGGAGAGGACAGUGGAAUUCCAUGUGUAGCGGUAAAAUGCGUAGAUAUAUGGAGGAACACCAGUGGCGAAGGCAGCUGUCUGACCUGUAACUGACGCUGAGGCACGAAAGCGUGGGGAGCAAAUAGGAUUAGAUACCCCAGUAGUC
RNAcentral lists this ribosomal RNA (464 nucleotides) under uncultured bacterium. RNAcentral's name for it is "partial 16S ribosomal RNA". It matches the Rfam family "Bacterial small subunit ribosomal RNA", at positions 338 to 795 of the family's 1533-position model. The record is from RNAcentral.